This 254-nucleotide ribosomal RNA is filed under the name uncultured bacterium. Its description in RNAcentral is "partial 16S ribosomal RNA". It matches the Rfam family "Bacterial small subunit ribosomal RNA", at positions 524 to 776 of the family's 1533-position model. The record is from RNAcentral.
CACGUAGGGGGCAAGCGUUGUCCGGAUUUAUUGGGCGUAAAGAGCUCGUAGGCGGCUCAGUAAGUCAGGUGUGAAACCUCCAGGCUCAACCUGGAGACGCCACCUGAUACUGCUGUGGCUAGAGUCCGGUAGGGGAGCGUGGAAUUCCUGGUGUAGCGGUGAAAUGCGCAGAUAUCAGGAGGAACACCAGCGGCGAAGGCGGCGCUCUGGGCCGGUACUGACGCUGAGACGCGAAAGCGUGGGGAGCGAACAGG